AUCCACCCUGGCACCUGACCCAU
Molecule: unclassified non-coding RNA, 23 nt
Filed under: Chlamydomonas reinhardtii
Lineage: Eukaryota; Viridiplantae; Chlorophyta; Chlorophyceae; Chlamydomonadales; Chlamydomonadaceae
Description: small RNA Cre_0684
Source: RNAcentral